Gallus gallus (chicken) is the source of this 1784-nucleotide long non-coding RNA. RefSeq lists it as uncharacterized. NCBI's taxonomy places the organism in Eukaryota, Metazoa, Chordata, Aves, Galliformes, Phasianidae. The transcript has 3 exons. The record is from RefSeq and is a predicted model, not a curated record.
UUUGCAGAAGGUGGUACGUGCACCACAGAAAGUACAACCAUGCUUUGUGGCUUGCAAAUAUUUUUUCAGUGAGCCCAGAGAAUACUCUCUGCAUAGGUGACACUGCCUGACAUACGAUGCAAGGUGGUAUGAUGGGAUUUGACAGUGCAGAUGAACAAAGACACCAGCAGAAGGGAAAUCAGGACAAGGGAUUUGUAAUGGAGACUGAGCCAGUGGAUCAUUCACAGUCACAAAUGGAACGUGCCACCCCCAACAAUGGGCUGACUCACUGCUUCAGCACUGACUCAGAGCAAGAAAACCCACCUCACAAAGCUCACCAGCAGUUCCUCUGGCACUCUGGAUUCUCCCUGGCAAACCUCCACGCAAAGAGUGAGCAUGCCUGAACUUGAUUAGCUGGGGAGAUAAAGUGAGCUCACUGGCCUAGAGCUGGGCUGCAUGAAAUCACACCUUUGUGAAACCAACACAAAUGACUGCAAGGGAAGAGUAGCAGAAUGCAUUAAUCCUAAAGAAUAACACAAGUGUUUACUGCAAACAUGAGUCAACAUUCCUGUUUAAAGUUGCUUAACAGUUUCAGCCACUGCUCUGCGAAAUGGAAUUUAUUUGGAAAACAAUUCCUCGGAACUACAUGAACUAUUCUUGCUCUCUUUUCUUAUGAAUGCAUACGCUUAAAGUAAUUCCAAGCAGUUUGGAUUUCACUAAUGAUGGAAAGGCACUGAGAAGUGAGGACUCUUCUCUGCUAUACUGUUACAAAGGAAAUGUGAUUUACUCCAUCAUUUCUUAUUUUAAUGUAAUAGUAUUUUUCUUACAGAGACAUCUUUUUCUUUUCAUCAACAGAUAAUAAAGAGAGAGCCACUGUGUUUAAUGUGGUGUGGAACUGUUUGCUUUAAACAAUGGAUUUUUUUUCCCCAAUUCUACAUUCAGAAGAUAUUUAUUGGGGAAGUGACAGUAGCUAAAUGAGUUAUAGAAGUCACAGCAGAGCUGAAGAUGAGUUGAUUGCUUUUCCAAUUGGCUACAACCAAGUAUAUAAUGUCACUUUUGUUGCACUGCUUUCCCAGUCCCCAUGUUUAUCUUACACAUGGCCCCACAUUCAGAAACAAAUGUGCUUUCAUAACUGAAGUAAUUAUGAGCUGUCAGCUGAGCUGCCAUAGCAGGCUGCAUGCAGGCACUCAGCACAACUGGGAAGCUGGGCGUGUUGGUUCAGAACUGCUUAUGGUGGCCAAAUCUUCCUGGUGGCAAUGUGGAUGCUUUAGCUCAGCUUACUGUUGGUUACUGGAUUCUUUUUAACUGCAUAUAUGCAUUGCUGGGCUCCUGCAAAGAUGCAGGCAGCAGCACUCACACAGGCCUUAGGCCAUGCCUAAAAUGGGAGCUGGGACUGGAUUUAUGGUUCAGAACACAGUGUUUUCCUAACAAAAGACUCGUAAAUAUCUGAGUAUCUCCCGUUGUGUCGCAUUGACUCAUCUAUCACAACCUUCUCAACAGACCUCUCAGCUUUCCAGCAGCCAAACCAACCCACCAAGCCCAACCUCAUAAACCUGCCACAACCCCCUAACGCUCAGGAACCAGGCAAGGUGACCAAAAAGGUACAUCCAGCAGCAAGACGUGCAAAGCAAACUGCCACCUCUCCCACACAGAUGGAUGAGGGGGAUUUAAAGGCUCUUGCUGGCUGAUCAAAGGCUCUGGGCCUGACUCAGUGCCGAGUGAAGUCAAUGGAAAGCCUCACAUAGACUGCAGUGGGCUGUGGAUGAGACGCUGUAUUCAUACGCUAUUAUUAUUGUAAUUGAUUU